Molecule: long non-coding RNA, 1317 nt
Filed under: Homo sapiens (human)
Lineage: Eukaryota; Metazoa; Chordata; Mammalia; Primates; Hominidae
Description: HSALNT0076930
Source: RNAcentral
AGGCGUGAUUGUGUUUUGAAAUGUGAGAGGUACAUGAGAUUUGUGGGGGGAGCAGGGCAAAAUGAUAUGGUUUAGCUCUGUUCUCCCCACCAAAUCUCAUGUCAAAUUGUAAUCUCCCAUGUUUGAGGAGGUGCCUGGUGGAAGGUGAUUGAAUCAUGGUAGUGGACUUUCCCCUUGCUGUUCUCAUGAUAGUGAGUAAAUUUUCAUGAGAUCUGGUUGUUUAAAAGUGUGUAACACUUCCCCUUUUGGUCUCUCUCCUGAUUCACCACGUGAAGAUAUGCCUGCUUCCCCUUCACAUUCUGCCAUGAUUGUGAGUUUCCUGAGGCCUCCUCAGCCAUGAUUCCUGUACAGCAUAUGUAACUAAUCGGGGGUACAUGUGCAGAUUUUUAACAAAGGUAUAUUGCUUGAUGCUGAGAUUUGGAGUAUGAAUGAAUCUGUCACCAAGUUAGUAAGUAUAAUACCCAACAAGUAUUUUUUUAAUUCCUCCCCUUACUCACUCCUCUAGUACUUCCCAGUGUCUUGUUCCCAUCUUUGUGUCCACAUGUACCCAAUGUUUAGCUCCCUUAUAAGCGAGAGCAUGUAUUUGGUUUUCUGUUUCCACGUUAGUUCACUUAGGAUAAUGGCCUCCAGCUGCAUCCAUGUUGCUGCAAAAAGACAUGAUUUCAUUCUCUUUAUAGCUGUGUAGUAUUCCAUGGUGCAUAUGUACCAUAUUUUCAUUAUCCAAUUCACUGUUGACGGGCACCUGGGUUUAUUCCAUGUUUCUGCUAUUGUGAAUAGUGACUUGCCUACCUUUAAUUUACUUUAAAAUAUAUCAACAUUGAUGUGUGAUAUUAUGUAUGUGUUAUUUAGUUUAAUUUAUACCCUUAAUUGGUAAUUCACUUUCCAGGAAUGAUCACCUAGCAUGUAACAGAAAGUCCACACUUCAGAGAAAUGUACUACAAGGACUUCGGCUAUCUUUUUAUCUUGUCAGUGCUAGAUUUUUGCUGAUUAAAAUAAUGCAUAUAAGAAAUGGGGCUUCAUUUGUGAAAAUCAUGCUUGUAUGAAAGCAUAAUGAAUAUUACAAAUAGGUCCUUAUUGGUAACAGUAGUGGUAUUUAAGAUAUGAGUGUUGUCUAAAGAUUUAGAGAUACCUCCCACCCUUGCAUGAAAGGAUCUUUGGACACAAAGCUUGAGGCUUAGAUCUUACUUGCACUGGAGUCCAGACAGUGCAGUGGAGAAUUCUGUUUUUGUGAUGGCAGAUAUAGUAUUAGCCAAAUCUUGCCUCCAGAUUAUUGUUAUAAUUGUUUCAAGUAAACGUUUUAAGCAAGGUGGUCUUCAG